This 344-nucleotide ribosomal RNA is filed under the name Acinetobacter pittii. RNAcentral describes it as "bacterial SSU rRNA". It matches the Rfam family "Bacterial small subunit ribosomal RNA", at positions 1 to 345 of the family's 1533-position model. Lineage: Bacteria; Pseudomonadati; Pseudomonadota; Gammaproteobacteria; Moraxellales; Moraxellaceae. The record is from RNAcentral.
UUUAACUGAAGAGUUUGAUCAUGGCUCAGAUUGAACGCUGGCGGCAGGCUUAACACAUGCAAGUCGAGCGGAGAGAGGUAGCUUGCUACUGAUCUUAGCGGCGGACGGGUGAGUAAUGCUUAGGAAUCUGCCUAUUAGUGGGGGACAACAUUUCGAAAGGAAUGCUAAUACCGCAUACGUCCUACGGGAGAAAGCAGGGGAUCUUCGGACCUUGCGCUAAUAGAUGAGCCUAAGUCGGAUUAGCUAGUUGGUGGGGUAAAGGCCUACCAAGGCGACGAUCUGUAGCGGGUCUGAGAGGAUGAUCCGCCACACUGGGACUGAGACACGGCCCAGACUCCUACGGG